Long non-coding RNA from Lathyrus oleraceus (garden pea), 2272 nucleotides. RefSeq lists it as uncharacterized. The record is from RefSeq and is a predicted model, not a curated record. The transcript is spliced from 2 exons. Lineage: Eukaryota; Viridiplantae; Streptophyta; Magnoliopsida; Fabales; Fabaceae.
UUAAGAAACUAUAUUAACAGGCUAGGGGUGCAUAGGCAUUGACGGGGUAUUGAAAGAUGAAGUUUGGGCGAUGAAAUUGCUGGCGAAAGCCCAAUCUCAGAAUCUUGCACCCGGGUCCGGAUCUUCCCCAAACGUAACUCCAAGAACCAAUUCAAAUCAAAAGCACAAAGCAAAUGACCUUCGUCCGGAUUCAUCUCGAGAAACUCCUUGUGACCUCGCGUUCAUGAUUCCACGUUACUCCCAUGGCCGCGCAAGGAAGUUUUAAGAUCCAAACUUGGAUUCGUCUGCUACCGCGCCAACCACACACAUAAUCAAAAAUGAAAGAUUCAAGAAGUCGAUUUCUCCUCACGACCGAAUUCGCGUGAAAAUCCAACGCCAAAAAGCAAUCGAAACCGAAGUUAGGUUCUUUAUGCUUGUUCUUGCACGCGAGUAUGAGUUGUUGGAUCCGAUUUGGGACGAAGAAGGCAAGAAUAUUCUUCGACGGUGGGGUUUCAGUGAAGAGCCUCGAAGGAAAUCUUUGUGUUGUCGAUUCCGAUUCAACGGGGAAUCGGUUCAAUAUCCAACCGUAAUCGACGUGCCGAAUAGAAGGCAAUGAAAGAAGAAAGAAAAAGGAAGACCUACCUUCUCUAACCGAGACUCCAGGUGAUGUGUUUUAUUCUUGAUCCUCUCCUUCGACUACACACCUGUGUGAAGAUACAUGUUGUCUUCUUCGUAUGUUUCUCGAUUCCGCUUCUCCUUCUGCUGUGCUGUUUUCUUUUUGUUGUGAAGUUUGAGAAGAGAUUAGAGAGUUGGUUGAGGAUUCAGGAAGUGAUCCUUGAGAGGCGAUGAAGGGUCGUUUGGAGAUGGUUAACGGUUGUUUUUAAAGGAGAUUAGGGAUGUAGCCGGUUGAAGGUUUUAGAGAAGGGGUUCCAUUGAAGAAGCUGGGUUCUCGUCUUCUGGUUUUCAGUUUUACAGGGUGGUUUUCUGGACUUUUUUGUUUACAGGUUAUGGGAUAGGUUGAAGGAGGGUCCGGUUGGAGUGGAAGAUUGAGGUUAUCAACUGGUUCGUUUCCCGAAGUUGGAGAAAGGUGAUUGUUUUAUGUGAAUGGAAGCUGGUAGGAGAGGAAGUGAAAAAUGUGAGGUUGAAGCAGUUAGUUGGAAUCUGCUAUGUAUUCAGUUUAUUCGGUUGGAGGUUUUUAUUUUCAGUUUUCAAUUCUGUUACAGGUUAGUUUUGAGAGGUUAGAAAGUUGGUUGGGAAGUUAGAGUCUGGGAGCUUCUAUCAGGGGUUCUGUUAACAUUUGUGAGUUUGUUAUUUCUGUUUUUGCGAAAUUGUUUUGGUUGCCGGUUUUUGAGGGAGUUCGGUUAGUUUUAUGGAGGAGAUUCGAGUGGAAGGUUGCUCGAUUGCCAAUCCCCUUAUUCGUUUGGGAGAGUGCUGUUAAAUAGUUCUGUUGUGAUGAAUUUGUUAUGAAAAUUUUGUGGAGGUUAUAGAAGUUAGUUGGAGAAUGGAGAGGCUUCGAAGGAGGAGUUUUCUCUGUGAGGUGAUUUGUUGAUUUCUGAUUAGGAGAGGCUUUUUUUUAAAACAAUUUUGUGUAUUGGUUAACAGGUUUUUUCAACAAUUGAGAAUUUCUUGACAGUUAUCGGAACUCGGUUUUGGUUAGAGUGAAGCUUCCGGUUCCGGUUAUCGGUUGAUGUCAGUUGGAAGUUUUGGAAGGUUAUUUUCAGGUUUUGUUCUUAAUAUUCCAUAGUUUGUUUUCUCCUAUCAGGAUCUCCUUUUUUUUGUUGAUUUCCUGCAGAGUUUCCAUUGGUUUUGAUGAAGGAUUGAAGGAGAGAGUUUCAAUGGUUUGAAGGUUGCCAGGUUGAAGGUCGAAUGAAGGUUUUUUAAGUGGUUUUGUUAGUUGUGAAUUGAGUUACAACAUGUAUUGAAACGAGUUGGUAUUUUAUAUGUUAGAUGCUGAGUCAUGCUGUUAGGAUCGGAUGCCAUAUGCGCACUUGGACUUGUUAUAAAAUCAUAGAGUUGCUAUGCUUAUGGAACUGGUGUGGUGAACCAUAUGCCUUGUGGAACAUGCUAAUGGAAUAUUGAAUUGUAUUGAUUGUUAUGCUGUGAUUGGGUAUAGUUUAAAUGUAUUAAAAAUGGUUGUAAUUUUAUUGUAGUGAAUUGGUUUGAAAAAAUGUAAUUUGAAUUGGUAUUUGGAUGUAAAUGCAUCAUGGUUUUCAAAUUGUAAUUGCAAAUGGAUUUGAAUAUGGAUGUAUGGAAUUUGAUGGUUAAAUGAGAAUGUAUGGGAUUUGUACGGUUA